Molecule: long non-coding RNA, 1189 nt
Organism: Triticum aestivum (bread wheat)
Lineage: Eukaryota; Viridiplantae; Streptophyta; Magnoliopsida; Poales; Poaceae
Exons: 8
Source: RefSeq, a predicted model, not a curated record
GACUAGAAGGAAGAGAGGUCCCAGAUGCGUCCGCCCCGUUCCAACCUGCCUCUUUUCUCUCUCUCUCUCUCUCUCUCUCUCUCUCUCUCUCUCUCUCUCGCAGACCCACUCCACCCGCGGUGGCGUGCCAUCCGCCUCCGCACCAUCUUCCCCGGACACGCCUUCGCCUCGGCCGAAGCAGGAGUGGAGAUGGCAGUGAUUGCCGCUGUAGCUAACAGCAUCCGCAUACCCUUGUGGAGAUUAUUUGGGGGAGCAUCAAACACUGUGACAACAGACAUCACGGGACGUUUCAAAAAAAAACCAGACAUCACGAUUCCAAUUGUGACCCGAAAUGAAGCCGCUCAAUUGGCUGCAAAAUAUCAAGGACAAGGGUUUCAGACUCUGAAGCUCAAAGUAGGGAAAAACUUGAACUCAGACAUAGAAGUUCUGAAGGCUAUACGGCGACUGCUCAUUUAUCUUGGAUGCAAAUGAAGGGUACACAGCAAACCAUGCAAUUGAAGUUCUUGACAGACUAAACGAUUCUAUGAUGAUUGAUGCAAAGUCCGUGUUGUGCUCCUAUGAUCGAGGUAUAAAAGAAGCAGCAGAAAAUUGAGUACAUCGUUCUCUGUUGCGUCGAGGAUUGAUUCCAGUGCAACCUUUCACUGAAAUCAUAUGAAGUAGACUGCAGCCAUGAAUUAAUUUUCCUUCAUGAUGUCUACAUGACCUUUUGAGCGUUUGGAUAUGAUUUACGGAAUUUGCCGCAGGUCUGAUCCCUUGCGCGUGCUCCUCCGCUUGCCCUCUCGACCCUCCCCUUGCUCAUCGCCAUCCAUUUUAUUCAGAGUGUAGAUGGCGGGCAAAACACCUAAGCUCCAGAGCAAGGAUGAAAAGCACUCCAUACACACCCACAAGGAUGAUGAUCCAUCUGUUUCUAGGAUGGUGGGACUUGAGGUCCAACUGCGUAGGUAUGCACCAGAUUCAAGGAUCAGCUACUUGAUGAAAUAUACAGGAGACUCUCCUACUCAACAUUACCUUAAAAAAGAAUCAAGGAUCAGUUCAAUGGGAAUUGGAAUGAUGAAAACACUUGUUUGAGCACAUGUGAUCCUCAUAAUAGCACAUUUGUAAUAAAUCACUGUAGUCAAAUCACUUUUUUUUAUAAUUGUAUAGUAAAAUCACUUACUGUUGUGUAUAAGUGCCAUUAAGGAUCAACCUA